GCUAUACAUGCAAGUCGAGCGAACAGAUAAGGAGCUUGCUCCUUUGACGUUAGCGGCGGACGGGUGAGUAACACGUGGGUAACCUACCUAUAAGACUGGGAUAACUUCGGGAAACCGGAGCUAAUACCGGAUAACAUUUGGAACCGCAUGGUUCUAAAGUGAAAGAUGGUUUUGCUAUCACUUAUAGAUGGACCCGCGCCGUAUUAGCUAGUUGGUAAGGUAACGGCUUACCAAGGCGACGAUACGUAGCCGACCUGAGAGGGUGAUCGGCCACACUGGAACUGAGACACGGUCCAGACUCCUACGGGAGGCAGCAGUAGGGAAUCUUCCGCAAUGGGCGAAAGCCUGACGGAGCAACGCCGCGUGAGUGAUGAAGGGUUUCGGCUCGUAAAACUCUGUUAUUAGGGAAGAACAAACGUGUAAGUAACUGUGCAUGUCUUGACGGUACCUAAUCAGAAAGCCACGGCUAACUACGUGCCAGCAGCGGCGGUAAUA
This 495-nucleotide ribosomal RNA is filed under the name Staphylococcus saprophyticus. Its description in RNAcentral is "bacterial SSU rRNA". It matches the Rfam family "Bacterial small subunit ribosomal RNA", at positions 48 to 525 of the family's 1533-position model. The record is from RNAcentral. Lineage: Bacteria; Bacillati; Bacillota; Bacilli; Caryophanales; Staphylococcaceae.